This 1583-nucleotide long non-coding RNA is filed under the name Marmota monax (woodchuck). Lineage: Eukaryota; Metazoa; Chordata; Mammalia; Rodentia; Sciuridae. The record is from RNAcentral.
CAGGAUGCCAUCCUUCAGAAUCGAGCGUUCUGGCUGUUGAUCAAGAAAGUAUUUGGAUUCUACUCUAAAAGUCAAUAUAGGACCUGGCAAAAAAAGCUGGCAGAAGACUCUACCUGGCCCCCCAUAAAUAGGACGGACUAUGCAAGUGAUGGUAAAAAUGGAUUCUACAUCAACAAAGGCUAUGAAAACCAUGAACUGGUCCCAAAAGAAAAACUCAAAUCAGGGGACCAAAUCAAAGAACAGCAUUUUUGGACCAGACUCUAAUUGGAAUUGUUAUACGCAUUGAGCAGCAUCACCCUCCUCCAAACUAAAACAUGUGGAAGGUGAAAAGAAUGUACCCUUUUCUUUUUGCUGUCCAUCUGAUCAUCUGAAGCACAUUUCUCAGUGCACUUAGCCUUGCAACAGAGGACCUUGAAUUUAUCUAUUUUGACUAUAUCCUUUCCUAUUGGGAGAAAAAAAUGCAUUUCUUGGGUUAUCAUUUUAAUAUGCUUUAUUCAUAUUGUAUUGUUUAAAAUGCACAGCUCUUAGGAUAAUAAAAUUAGAAGUACAAACAUCAAUAGAAUAAAGAAAAGCUAAGGAAACAUUUGGUCUUUGAAAGUUUUACCAAUAUGUUAAUUAUCACACAAGUUUCUUUAAAUCUUACAUUCAUUUGUAUAUAUAUAUAUAUGUACAUAUCUUUUUACAAGAUAACUAAAUUCCUCCUUUUUGCUUCACUGUAUGGUUUUAAUAGAAAUAAGUAUUAACAUUUACUUCAGAAAAUUCAACCCUAACUAUGUAGUAAGCCAGAGUCAUGUGGAAGUGGAGAACGGCAGAGAUUUGUGUUAAUUGCAUAUAAUCUUAGCACAGGCAUAGCUAAUACCUAAGCAAACUCCACCAAAGUUUGACAAUUCCCAAAGUAUUGAGCUAGAAGGUCCAUGGUAGAUCCCCAAAAUAAUGGAAGGCUGUUAAAAUGUGCUUUUCACCUCAGAAAGCCUGGUGCUUUGAUUUAUUACUGACACACCAAAACUUCAAGUAAGUUCUGGGUGAAAAAAAAAAAGACAGGCCAAAUUCAACAUCACUUGUCUUAUAAACAACCCUAAGAAAGGGACCCAUGAAAAUCCUCUGGCUUCCAGAUGACCUUAUGCUCUACUUCAUCUUUUAAUUAUAUAAAUCAUUCCAAAUGCACAUGAAAGACAAGAAGGGUACAUUCUUUACAAAUAUAUCCUUCGCCCUAUCUACUUAUAUACACAUACAUAGAUAAAUGUGCAUAUAUAAAAUGUAUAUUUUUCAGAGGAAGAAAUUUAUUUCUGGUGAAUAUUUGAAAUAACCUACUAGGUUUUCCUUAGAAUAAUAAAUCUAAUUGUGCCAACUGAACAGAUUUUCAACAGACCAUAGGCAAAGCUAAUUGCUGGUUAACUAAAACCAGUUCCAUCCCAUAAUUGUCAAAUGUGUGCCUAAUAUCAUGAUAUAUGGAUUCAAUAUGAAAUAGCCCUGAGUUUACGAUCUGUAAUCUUUAGGACUGACAAUUUUUUUCAAUAUUUUAGCAAUUUCCUCCUGUAAAUAGCAUUAUAAACUAUGUUACUCAACCAGUAGCACAAAUAAAC